UGAAACGAUGGCUAAUACCGCAUGAUGCCUACGGGCCAAAGAGGGGGACCUUCGGGCCUCUCGCGUCAGGAUAUGCCUAGGUGGGAUUAGCUAGUUGGUGAGGUAAGGGCUCACCAAGGCGACGAUCCCUAGCUGGUCUGAGAGGAUGAUCAGCCACACUGGAACUGAGACACGGUCCAGACUCCUACGGGAGGCAGCAGUGGGGAAUAUUGCACAAUGGGCGCAAGCCUGAUGCAGCCAUGCCGCGUGUAUGAAGAAGGCCUUCGGGUUGUAAAGUACUUUCAGUCGUGAGGAAGGCGGUGUCGUUAAUAGCGGCGUUGUUUGACGUUAGCGACAGAAGAAGCACCGGCUAACUCCGUGCCAGCAGCCGCGGUAAUACGGAGGGUGCGAGCGUUAAUCGGAAUUACUGGGCGUAAAGCGCAUGCAGGUGGUUUGUUAAGUCAGAUGUGAAAGCCCGGGGCUCAACCUCGGAAUAGCAUUUGAAACUGGCAGACUAGAGUACUGUAGAGGGGGGUAGAAUUUCAGGUGUAGCGGUGAAAAUG
This 542-nucleotide ribosomal RNA is filed under the name uncultured bacterium. RNAcentral's name for it is "bacterial SSU rRNA". It matches the Rfam family "Bacterial small subunit ribosomal RNA", at positions 152 to 688 of the family's 1533-position model. The record is from RNAcentral.